This 446-nucleotide ribosomal RNA is filed under the name uncultured soil bacterium. RNAcentral's name for it is "bacterial SSU rRNA". It matches the Rfam family "Bacterial small subunit ribosomal RNA", at positions 26 to 518 of the family's 1533-position model. The record is from RNAcentral.
AGAACGAACGCUGGCGGCAGGCUUAACACAUGCAAGUCGAGCGCCCCGCAAGGGGGAGCGGCAGACGGGUGAGUAACGCGUGGGAAUCUACCUAGCUCUUCGGAAUAGCUCCGGGAAACUGGAAUUAAUACCGAGUACGCCCUACGGGGGAAAGAUUUAUCGGAGUUAGAUGAGCCCGCGUUGGAUUAGCUAGUUGGUGGGGUAAUGGCCUACCAAGGCGACGAUCCAUAGCUGGUCUGAGAGGAUGAUCAGCCACACUGGGACUGAGACACGGCCCAGACUCCUACGGGAGGCAGCAGUGGGGAAUCUUGGACAAUGGGCGCAAGCCUGAUCCAGCCAUGCCGCGUGAGUGAAGAAGGCCUUCGGGUUGUAAAGCUUCUUUACCAGGGACGAUAAUGACGUACCUGGAGAAUAACGCCCGGACAAACUUCGUGCCAGCACGCCGC